UACGGAGGGAGCUAGCGUUGUUCGGAAUUACUGGGCGUAAAGCGUACGUAGGCGGUUAUUCAAGUCAGAGGUGAAAGCCCGGGGCUCAACCCCGGAACGGCCUUUGAAACUAGAUAGCUAGAGUCUUGGAGAGGUUAGUGGAAUUCCGAGUGUAGAGGUGAAAUUCGUAGAUAUUCGGAAGAACACCAGUGGCGAAGGCGACUAACUGGACAAGUACUGACGCUGAGGUACGAAAGCCAGGGGAGCGAACGGG
RNAcentral lists this ribosomal RNA (253 nucleotides) under uncultured bacterium. RNAcentral describes it as "partial 16S ribosomal RNA". It matches the Rfam family "Bacterial small subunit ribosomal RNA", at positions 524 to 776 of the family's 1533-position model. The record is from RNAcentral.